UAACGCGUGAGCAACCUUUCCCAGACAGGGGAAUAACACACCGAAAGGUGUACUAAUACCGCAUAAGACCACGGUUUCACAUGGAACUGAGGUAAAAGAUUUAUCGGUUUGGGGUGGGCUCGCGUCCGAUUAGGUAGUUGGUGAGGUAACGGCCCACCAAGCCGACGAUCGGUAGCCGACCUGAGAGGGUGAUCGGCCACAUUGGGACUGAGACACGGCCCAAACUCCUACGGGAGGUAGCAGUGGGGAAUAUUGGGCAAUGGGGGGAACCCUGACCCAGCAACGCCGCGUGGAGGAAGAAGGUUUUCGGAUCGUAAACUCCUGUCCUUGGAGACGAGUAGAAGACGGUAUCCAAGGAGGAAGCCCCGGCUAACUACGUGCCAGCAGCCGCGGUAAUACGUAGGGGGCAAGCGUUGUCCGGAAUAAUUGGGCGUAAAGGGCGCGUAGGCGGCUCGGUAAGUCUGGAGUGAAAGUCCUGCUUUUAAGGUGGGAAUUGCUUUGGAUACUGUCGGGCUUGAGUGCAGGAGAGGUUAGUGGAAUUCCCAGUGUAGCGGUGAAAUGCGUAGAGAUUGGGAGGAACACCAGUGGCGAAGGCGACUAACUGGACUGUAACUGACGCUGAGGCGCGAAAGUGUGGGGAGCAAACAGGAUUAGAUACCCUGGUAGUCCACACUGUAACGAUGAAUGCUAGGUGU
RNAcentral lists this ribosomal RNA (695 nucleotides) under uncultured bacterium. RNAcentral describes it as "bacterial SSU rRNA". It matches the Rfam family "Bacterial small subunit ribosomal RNA", at positions 111 to 823 of the family's 1533-position model. The record is from RNAcentral.